CAGUGGAGGUAUAGAAUUACCCUGGAGUGCUGAUCGCGCUAUUCAGCAGUUGGGAAGAACUCACCGUUCAAAUCAAGCUUCUGCACCAGAGUAUAGAUUUGCUUCCACUGUUAUUCUAAUCCAUGGAGAUCUAGGCAGCCAAAGUAUGAAUGGAACGUUCAAACAUUAUGCUGCAUUUCAUGUUCAGCGGAGGGUGACCGGGGUCUUAUUAUAUCAGAAGUUGCAGACAAGAUCCAAACUGCUGGUCUUCCAGACCCGACAGCAAACAUGACAGCGGAAGCAUCAAUUGCUGCUGCCUUGUUAAGGUUUCCAAGCUUUUUGAGAGUACAGCUACACCAACUUAUUACAAGAACUAAUGGAAUCUUAGAUCGAGAAGUUGAGGAUUUUGAUAAAGACGAAGCAAACGGAGAUGGAGAUUGGAGGUGAUAAUAAACAGUUUUUGAAGUUGCUAAUAAAUAUAUAUACGGACACCCUACAACAAUUCUGGGUAUUUACGAGAGAAAGUUUCCCACCUUUAUAUCUAGUUUGUGUUUAUAUAUAAAUCUACAGUGUCUUGAUGCAAAGAUUAGUUAGUGAUGGUAACGAAAUUUAAUUUCAUUUGGCAGACAAUGAAAAAUGUGCCAUCAAUACCCUCCUCCACACCGCUCUUGUAAUUUCAAAUACAUCUCUCAUUAAGAUACCCCUCCAAGCACAAAACCUCUGGUCGAGUCAUCAAAU
Molecule: long non-coding RNA, 717 nt
Organism: Daucus carota subsp. sativus
Lineage: Eukaryota; Viridiplantae; Streptophyta; Magnoliopsida; Apiales; Apiaceae
Exons: 3
Source: RefSeq, a predicted model, not a curated record